GCCGGGCGUAGUGGCCCAUGCCUGUAGUCCCAGCAGCUCAGGAGGCUGAGGCCAGAGGAUCACAAAUUCUAAGCCAGCCUCAGCAAAAAAGCGAAACACUAAGCAACUCGGUGAGACCCUGUCUCUA
This 127-nucleotide small RNA is filed under the name Marmota monax (woodchuck). The record is from RNAcentral. Lineage: Eukaryota; Metazoa; Chordata; Mammalia; Rodentia; Sciuridae.